RNAcentral lists this ribosomal RNA (256 nucleotides) under uncultured bacterium. RNAcentral describes it as "partial 16S ribosomal RNA". It matches the Rfam family "Bacterial small subunit ribosomal RNA", at positions 521 to 776 of the family's 1533-position model. The record is from RNAcentral.
UAAUACGGAGGGUGCGAGCGUUAUCCGGAAUCACUGGGUUUAAAGGGUGCGUAGGCGGUCUAUUAAGUCAGUAGUGAAAGACUGUCGCUUAACGACGGAUGUGCUAAUGAUACUGGUAGACUUGAAAGAGGUUAAGGUUGUCGGAAUGAGUCAUGUAGCGGUGAAAUGCAUAGAUAUGACUUGGAACACCGAUAGCGAAGGCAGGCAACUGAGCCUUAUUUGACGCUGAGGCACGAAAGUGUGGGUAGCGAACAGG